This is a long non-coding RNA of Homo sapiens (human), 643 nucleotides long. Ensembl annotates it as MAP9 antisense RNA 1. Its record names the gene MAP9-AS1. Lineage: Eukaryota; Metazoa; Chordata; Mammalia; Primates; Hominidae. The record is from Ensembl.
UAUUCAGUCCAGGUUUAAGUCCUUCAGCAUCUGACAUUCUCCUGGCAACUGUAAUUGAAUCAAUGAUGACUCAUCUGAGAUGAGCAAGUUGGUCCAGUCAGACCAAACAAAAGACAUUCUAUAAUCAGGGGAGAAGUCUUCUCUAUAUCUCUCUUAUAUGAGCAAAGGUCUUGACAGAACUUGGCAGUCUCUGAGGCUACAGAGAAGUGUGAAAAAGAGCAUAGAGAUUUCAGAAGGAGGCAGAUUCAGUCAGACGUACUGAAUCCCGUUUGAUCUCAACUCAGGCACACUCCAGAUGGACGUAUUGAACAGCACACUGGAGUUUUUGUCCAGAAGUUUGACUUUAGAAGAUAAGAAAUAACUGAGCGUAUUACAAGCAGGAGUUAGAGGAAGAGACUCAGUACAGAAGAGACAGGAACAAAAGUUCACCUCCAUUCAAUGGGAAAGGAUACAGAUCAAGAGUUCAGGAAAAGUAGGAGAAAGAAGCUCUAUUCCAGAAGCAGUCUGGAGCACAAAGAAUCCCUAAUCACUGACAUUAAGAAAGAAGAAAAAUAUUCCUAGGACGAUCCUGGAGAGCAAAGGUCAUCAGCAGUCACUUGACUUUCCUUGGAUUUCUCAACUGCAGUAGUCACAUGGUCUGCUG